UUAAAGGUACCCGUACCGCAAACCGACACAGGUGGGUGAGGAGAGUAUCCUAAGGCCCGCGAGAGAACUGUUGUUAAGGAACUCGGCAAAAGGACCCCGUAACUUAGGGAUAAGGGGUGCCACCAUCCGGUGGCCGCAGAGAAUAGGCCCAAGCGACUGUUUACCAAAAACAUAGGUUUCUGCUAAGUCGCAAGACGAUGUAUAGGAGCUGACGCCUGC
Molecule: ribosomal RNA, 219 nt
Filed under: Clostridioides difficile
Lineage: Bacteria; Bacillati; Bacillota; Clostridia; Peptostreptococcales; Peptostreptococcaceae
Description: partial 23S ribosomal RNA
Rfam family: Bacterial large subunit ribosomal RNA
Source: RNAcentral